UAAUAACCUAUAAUUUGGCUAUAAUUUCAAUUAACACGGAAGUAAUUAAUAAUUGACAAAAUGGUGGCUUCUAUUUCAACAAAUUGUAAAUACGAUCAGAGGGCAGCCAUUAUUGAAUCGCUUCAUGUAGGAAAAACAGCAGAGGAAAUCACUUCAUGGUUUAGUUACAAGAAGCCGAGAGAUUUAGGGAGUCUAGCAUGGAGAAACUUACUCCUGACCGAGCCAAAUACAGAAAGUGAUCUGAUUGCAAGAGGAGUGAUGAGUUUGUCUCCGAAUUGGAAGAUAUGAUCAACCAGAAUCCAUGGCAGAGCAUGGCUCACUUGGCAAAAGAAAUGGGCAUGGCGAGGUCAACAAUCAGUCUGGCAGUGCAG
RNAcentral lists this long non-coding RNA (371 nucleotides) under Androctonus crassicauda. Lineage: Eukaryota; Metazoa; Arthropoda; Arachnida; Scorpiones; Buthidae. The record is from RNAcentral.